CGGGCUUUUCCAAAAAUACUAGGCCCGGUUUAGUUAUAAAAAACCCGGAUUUUUCAAAAAUCCGGAUUUUAUCCGGGUUUUUUUGAAAAUAUUAGGCCUGUUUUAGGUCCUCGGGCCGGGCCGGGCCAGACCGGGUUUUUUUCGGAUCGGAUUUUUCAGAUUUUUUCCCAGAUCGGAUCAGAUCGGAUUUCAGAUUUCGGAUUUUUUGAACAUCUCUA
This 218-nucleotide long non-coding RNA is filed under the name Daucus carota (carrot). RNAcentral's name for it is "long non-coding RNA (DCAR_LNC003416)". Lineage: Eukaryota; Viridiplantae; Streptophyta; Magnoliopsida; Apiales; Apiaceae. The record is from RNAcentral.